This 477-nucleotide ribosomal RNA is filed under the name uncultured bacterium. RNAcentral describes it as "partial 16S ribosomal RNA". It matches the Rfam family "Bacterial small subunit ribosomal RNA", at positions 899 to 1397 of the family's 1533-position model. The record is from RNAcentral.
ACUCAAAGGAAUUGACGGGGGCCCGCACAAGCAGCGGAGCGUGUGGUUUAAUUCGACGCAACGCGCAGAACCUUACCCAGACUUGACAUGCUACUGCAAGCCACGGAAACGUGGUCGCUCUUGAAGGUGUAGCACAGAUGCUGCAUGGCUGUCGUCAGCUCGUGUCGUGAGAUGUUGGGUUAAGUCCCGCAACGAGCGCAACCCCCGCGGCCAGUUAUAGGUGUCUGGCCGGACGGCCCUUCGGGGAGGAAGGCGGGGAUGACGUCAAGUCCGCAUGGCUCUUACGUCUGGGGCGACACACACGCUACAAUGGCGCCGACAGCGCGCAGCGACCGCGCAAGCGGAAGCGAAUCGCCAAACGGCGCCUCAGUGCAGAUCGGGGGCUGCAACUCGCCCCCGUGAAGGCGGAGUUGCUAGUAACCGCGUAUCAGCCACGGCGCGGUGAAUACGUACCCGGGCCUUGUACACACCGCCCGU